UUAAGUCUCUUUUCUCUCUCUCUCAACACUCGAAACAAAUAUAGAACCAUAAGAAUGGUUCAAGCAUAUCUUUCUCAAACUUGGACUUGGACUUCCACUAGAUGAUGGACGAGCGACGCAGAGUGUUAGACGACGGCAUCCAGCGGUUGACAGUAGACAAUGGACGACGAACAAGCGUUGGACGAUAUAUGGCUAACGAUAAUUUUGUUUGGAGCCUCGACAAUAUGUUUUGAUUCGUUUCUACAGGGUUUCAUUUGACUAGAUUUAUUUUGUUCUAUUUCUUUGUGGGUGAGAUCUAUUUUGAUCUCUUUCUUUCUGGGUGAGAUCUAUUUUGAUCUUUUUCUUUCUGGGUGAGAUCUGUUUCUUUCUAGGUGAGAUGGUUAUGAUUUAUUUUGGCCUCCACUUUUUCAAGUUAUUUGAACCAGCCGGCCUAAUCAUCCGGGUUAUCCCGGUUUAUCCGGAGUCAACUAGAUUUUGCACGGCCAGAAACGGU
Molecule: long non-coding RNA, 493 nt
Filed under: Lupinus angustifolius (narrow-leaved blue lupine)
Lineage: Eukaryota; Viridiplantae; Streptophyta; Magnoliopsida; Fabales; Fabaceae
Description: long non-coding RNA (LANG_LNC000697)
Source: RNAcentral